Molecule: long non-coding RNA, 3979 nt
Organism: Anneissia japonica
Lineage: Eukaryota; Metazoa; Echinodermata; Crinoidea; Comatulida; Comatulidae
Exons: 2
Source: RefSeq, a predicted model, not a curated record
UGAGUAACCCAUCAUCAAAGCUGAUUAUAUGGUUCAUGACACUCUAUAACUAAAUUUCUUUAUGAUAGUUGGGAUGAGGAGGUGUUUUUGUGAGAAAAUAAUAUAUUAUAUUUUUUAUCACAACCAAAGAUUUAUUAACACCAAGGAUGUUUAUAUUUUAGGGUGAAUUAAUUGCAGGCUGAGUUUUAUUUAUAUGUAACAUUGAAUAAGUAACAUUUAUUUAAAUAUACAUCUGAGAUAAAGAGGGGAGGUACUACAACAACAAAGUAAGCAAAUGUGGUAUAAAACGUUUAGUCUGCAGAACGAAACAGCCCUAAUAAACAAAAUUCUAAGGGCUGUUCAUUUCUGAAGACUAGAAGUUUUAUUACACAUUUGUGAGGUCUCACCACAAAAUGAGUCUCAUGGUUAGAAAAUAAAAAAAAUUAAGUUCGUUAUAUUUGGUUAGAUUACAUUAUAAUAUUUAAUUUGGUCUUUGAAUGGCUUCCCUAGGAUAAGUAGAUCCAGAGACGUUAGCAUUUCGUGGGGAGUCCUCAAAUUUGCUUACAUUGUUGUUGCCCUCUCCUCUUUAUCUGUGAUGUAUAUUACAUAGAUGUUAUUUAUCCCAUGUGCUUUGUCUUGAUGAAAUCCAUUGUGUGGACAAACGCUAGAGCAAAUACACGUUAAAUUUUCAUAUAUUGUUCUAUAGCAGACUAAUAGGCUAUGCUUUUCAUUCAUCAUUACUGCUUUUGAAAUCCGUGAUUGUACUGUCGUGAACAAAGAAGUGUUGUGAUUAUAUAUCAUUCAUGACACUCUAUAACUAAAUUUCUUUAUUAUAGUUGGGAUGAGGAGGUGUUUUUGUGAGAAAAUAAUAUAUUAUAUUUUUUUAUCACAACCAAAGAUUUAUUAACACCAAGGAUGUUUAUAUUUUAGGGUGAAUUAAUUGCAGGCUGAGUUUUAUUCAUAUGUAACAUUGAAUAAGUAACAUUUAUUUAAAUAUACAUCCGAGAUAAAGAGGGGAGGUACUACAACAACAAAGUAAGCAAAUGUGGUAUAAAACGUUUAGUCUGCAGAACGAAACAGCCCUAAUAAACAAAAUUCUAUGGGCUGUUCAUUUCUGAAGACUAGAAGUUUUAUUACACAUUUGUGAGGUCUCACCACAAAAUGAGUCUCAUGGUUAGAAAAUAAAAAAAAUUAAGUUCGUUAUAUUUGGUUAGAUUACAUUAUAAUAUUUAAUUUGGUCUUUGAAUGGCUUCCCUAGGAUAAGUAGAUCCAGAGACGUAAGCAUUUCGUGGGGAGUCCUCAAAUUUGCAUACAUUGUUGUUGUCCUCUCCUCUUUAUCUGUGAUGUAUAUUACAUAGAUGUUAUUUAUCCCAUGUGCUUUGUCUUGAUGAAGGCCAUUGUGUGGACAAACGCUAGAGCAAAUACAUGUUAAAUUUUCAUAUAUUGUUCUAUAGCAGACUAAUAGGCUACACUUUUCAUUCAUCAUUACUGCUUUUGAAAUCCGUGAUUGUACUGUCGUGAACAAAGAAGUGUUGUGAAAUUAAAUGUGCUCGUCAAGUCAAAAGUCUUACGUAAACAUAAAAGGGAGAUACAAAAAACAACCUGCAAACCUAGAUGAUAUAUCUUUGACGUAUGAUAAAUGGAUUUUCAAAGUUGCAUAUAAACGCACACUGCCGUAAUUAUCACAACAUUGUUAUUAAAGCCAUAUGAAAAUAUUUAUUCAGUGAUUUAUGUGGUUUUUAUCUCAUUUGGUUCUUGUAAUUCAAUGAUUCAAACGUACAUAUGUGUAUGUGGGACAGAAUGCGUUUUUGUGGGACAAGCCCAUAAUCCCGACUCUGUUCUGGUUAGUCCAAUGUAUGUAAUGUCUUUACAGUACUGGUUUAUAAAAGUUAACUUGUAUCACGUUACAUUGUCAUAUUUCUACUUAUAUACUGUAAAGAUUAUACUCGCGUAUAAGGCAACCGUCGAGUAUUUUUUGUAUGUUGGAAUCCCUACAUUUUUUUCUGCUUUUCAUGGUCUUAACACCAAAUCUAGCAGACUAGAAAUGGAGCCACAUGCGAGGCUAAUCUUCAUUUUAUGAGAUUUUAAAUGUUCAUCAAAUGCUUAUUUACAUUUAGUUUUGUUUGGGGUGGGCUGUUCUUGAGGGAAGUAUUGAUCACAGUGGAGGGUAGUUAGCACUUAGUAACCGCAAGGAAUAAGCGCUAUAGAAGUACCUAGUAAAAAGUAGUAGUUCAUUGUACUAGUAAAUUUGUGUGUUAUGGAUGAUCUGCGCAUAAGACGAACAUAAUUAAAUAAAUCUAAAAUUUGUAUGUCUUGCAUAUAAGACAACCACUUUUUUGAUCGUAAUUUGCUAUUUUAAGCCUCGACUUGUACGCAAGUAUAUAUGGUAGUAGUGAUGAAUUUGUUGGUCCAUCGAGAUGCGUGUACUUAUGGAUAUUUGAACCAAUGUGAACCAAUACUAAACAAACUGUAAUUAAUUCGCUCCAUUGUCAGAAUAUUGCCAUGGAACCCAUUCAAAUGAAAGUCUUGAAUACUUUUCAUAAAAAUGUAAGUUAAGUGUUGUUAAUGUUCCAUCAUAAAAGCUUGCUGAUAUUAAAAGCAAUUUCCUGUCAGUUGUACACUACCCAUUAAGGCACUGUAAUUAUCGUAAGGAACUCUAUACUUUAAUUGCUAAUAAAUUUGGUAGAAAAUGUAGACUAUUGUACGUCUAUUCAAAUUAGAAAAGAAUUAUUAAGCACAUUUUGUUUGCUUGUUUUGCACCUUAUGGUGCAGUUGUUCUAUUCUAAUCCAAGGAUACCAUAAUAACAUAAAACUUGAUUCAUUAAAAAUAAAUACUGGUGGAUUAGAUAUUCAAACAAAAUAUUUAUUAUCAAAAUAAAAUAGAAAGCAUUUGCUCAAAAUGGUAUUGCAAAACUACUGUAUACUAUUUUCGGUAUAUGUUAAACACAAGAUAUAUUGAAUUGCUUUCUAGGCAUAAAAAAAUUUAUUGGUAGCAAAAAUGUUCAUGUAAUAUUUCAACUGAAUUAUUGAGAAUCAGCGUGCUUACUGUAGAUAUGAUUGUAUGUGAAAAAGUUGACAGCUAAUUUGUUUACAUUCCAGAACAUGAGGAAAAUAUAUUUAAAAAAUGAUAUUUUGGUCUUAGAAGGUGAUAAGAAUUGAAUUCCGUCCAUGAAUAUGUAAAUAGUAAGCAGAUUCUUUAGCACUGUCCAGACUUUCAAAUGUGCCUAAAUAUGGUCGCAACAUUACCAUAUAUAGGCACAUCAAGACUAUAUAUGGGCAUACAGCAGUUUUGAUGUCAAAGAGGCACAGCCUUAGUUUGGUAAGAAUCACCUUGAUUUGAAUAAACUUCAUAUUUCUAUUUCUAUCUUUUAUUUUUUAAUAAAUUUUUAAAAUUUGAGUUUUACUUAUUUUUAUUUGAUUUAAAGUGCAUUGCUGAAGAUGCUACUAUGGUAAGGUUUUCAAUAAACUGUACAGUUUCAAUCACUUAUUUAACAGUGCAAGAAAGAUCUAAGACAAAUUUAAUUGUUAAAUCAGUGGCGGUUCCAAGGAAUUCAAAAUAGAGGGGGGCCCAGAAAGGGACUAUACCACCUCAGCCCCAUUAUGGUUGGGGUGAGAUAAAAACAUUUAUGAUAAUGGCACCUCCAGACUUCAAAUGAGUCUCAUUCCUGAUGAUGACAUUUAUUGUAUCCUAACACGAUGGUGUGCAUUUCAACACUUGGAGUAUGUAUUAUACUUUCUUAUCUCAGACUUGAAUUUUAAAUAAUUUAAAAUAAUUUUGAAAAUUUAGAGCUAGUCCCCUCCCCCUUAAACCCGCCACUGAUUAAAUUGUACUGUACUAUCUUGGUGACACCAUAAUGCCAUGUGGUACCCUUGCGUUAUUGAGCAAAGCAGCCCCUCCUCAGCCAACCUACAGUUUAGAUAGCUAUUUAACUUUGCAUUGGUAUUUGCAUUGUAAUGUGAUAAUGCACACUAUAUUCCUUCUUGUACCUUUCAUAGCAUA